AGCUUGUAGGCUCCACCUCAAGACCAAAAAUAUCCAUCCUUAACCAUAACAGGCCCUUUACCCCUAUAGAUUUAACUAAUACAAAUGGAAUAGUUGCAGUCACUCAUAUGCUUGGUGAGUGACCCGGCCUAUUCCACUCUCGAGAAACGUCAAAACCGAGAAUCUCACUAUUCGUAUUCGAGCAGUUUGAACUGAGCAAAAUAUCGCCAGGCUCUCAUGCUGAACAAGACAAACAGAUGGCACUUGGUAUGAAGACCAAGGUACACGUUUAACGGUGAGCAUAUAUUAUGAACACGGAGAAGAGUUUUAUGAAUUUUUCCGUUAAUAAAAUUUUCUUAUAAAAACCUAAUCUGUCCCCAAAGAAAAUUCUCUUUUUUCGUUCGGGCUCCAUCAAAGGAGUAGUAGUGCGCGCGUGUGUAGAAGUCGUUAAAAUGUUGAGGAAAAGUUAGUGCGGAUUAGUUGGUUAGUAAAGUUAUUACGCUAAAAUGUGUUAGUAAGAACAAAAACAAAACGCCCGUUUGUUAAAAUUGUUAAGAAACAUUCACGAAAAGCUAGUGUGAGUAGCAGAACAAAGAAAAAAGGCAAUUGUGAAGUUAAUAAUGUGACAAAAGG
This is a long non-coding RNA of Aedes albopictus (Asian tiger mosquito), 612 nucleotides long. RefSeq lists it as uncharacterized. Lineage: Eukaryota; Metazoa; Arthropoda; Insecta; Diptera; Culicidae. The transcript is spliced from 3 exons. The record is from RefSeq and is a predicted model, not a curated record.